This is an RNA transcript of Lampris incognitus (smalleye Pacific opah), 2520 nucleotides long. It is a transcript of the gene named dipeptidyl-peptidase 7, with no coding region annotated. The record is from RefSeq and is a predicted model, not a curated record. The transcript is spliced from 14 exons. NCBI's taxonomy places the organism in Eukaryota, Metazoa, Chordata, Actinopteri, Lampriformes, Lampridae.
UCCGCAGCAGGGGCCGCGGGCUAGAUGGAGUUUGUUUUACUCUGAUUGGAACUACGUGUCAUGCGUCCGCUGCCUUGUGUGACCAUGUCUCGUGCCAGGGCAGCUCUCGUGCUGCCGCUGGCGUUGUCGGGGCUGCUGCAGGCUGCGGCCGGCAGGUAUCUCCAGUCAAAGCUGCGCCAUGGGGCCGGGACAGACCGCGAUCCUCCGUUCACCGAGAAGUACUUCAUUCAGCAGCUGGACCACUUCAACUUCAACAGCAUGGGGAACGGGACCUUCAGCCAGCGGUACCUCAUUACGGAUGAACACUGGAAGAAAGGCGACGGUCCUGUUUUCUUCUACACGGGCAAUGAGGGAGACAUCUGGGCCUUCGCCCUGAACUCCGGCUUCAUCAUGGAGCUGGCCGCGCAGCAGGGCGCCCUGGUCAUAUUCGCAGAACACAGAUACUACGGCAAAUCCCUCCCGUUUGGUCAGCAGUCCUUCAACAUCCCUCAGGUUGGCUUGCUGACGGUGGAGCAGGCCCUCGCCGACUACGCUGUCAUGAUCACGGAGCUCAAACAGCAGCUGGGGGCCGCAGGCUGCCCCGUUAUUGUGUUUGGUGGCAGUUAUGGAGGCAUGCUGUCAGUCUAUAUGAGGCUGAAAUAUCCAAACGUCGUGGCCGGCGCCCUGGCUGCCAGCGCCCCCAUUUUAUCUACUGCAGGGAUGGGAGACUCCAGGCAGUUUUUCCGUGACGUUACGUCAGAUUUCGAGAGUUAUCUCCCAGAAUGCCGACAAGCUGUGACAGAGUCCUUCCAGCAGUUGCAGCACCUGGCUGAUCACCAAGAUUUCAGCCGCAUCCGGUCCGAGUUUGCCCUGUGCAAGACUCCAUCGUCUGCUGCAGAUCUGCACCAGCUGAAAGGAAUGCUGAGGAACGCCUUCACCCUGAUGGCCAUGCUGGAUUACCCCUACAGCACGCACUUCAUGGGAAACUUGCCUGCCAACCCUGUCAAGGUGGCAUGUGACACAAUGCUCAGUGGACCUGACCUGCUGGUUAACCUCAGAAACACGGCAGGAAUUGUGUAUAACUCAUCCGGGGAAUUGAGCUGCUUUGACAUGUUCAACCUGUAUGUGGAGUGUGCUGACCCCACCGGCUGUGGACUGGGUCUCGAUAGCCUCGCAUGGGACUACCAGGCGUGCACAGAGAUUGAUCUGUGCUUUGAGAGCAACAAUAUGACCGACAUGUUCCCCCCCAUGCCCUUCACGGAGCACGACAGGGAGGUCUACUGCUCCAAACACUGGGGAGUGAUUCCACGGCCCAGCUGGCUUAAAACCCAGUUCUGGGGUGAUGCCCUCUCCACGGCCAGUAACAUUAUCUUCUCCAAUGGAGACUUGGACCCAUGGGCAAACGGAGGGGUGCGGAAGUCCCUUAGCUCAUCAUUGGUUGCCAUCAACAUAUCUGGAGGAGCCCACCAUCUCGACCUGAGAGAGUCCAACGAUGCCGAUCCAUUGUCAGUUAUAAACGCCAGAAGGACUGAAUCUGACCUGAUAGCACAGUGGGUGAAGAUGGCGAAACUGAGAUCGUGACAGUCACCAUAAUACACAAACUGUUUCAGUGAACUCGUGGGUGUUUUGUUUUUUCCCCAUAAAUCUCUUUAAUCACUUUUCAAAAUUAAAACAGAUCGAACAUUUAUUGUAAACCAGUUGACAGUUCAAUACAUCUUGAAUUUAGAUCAUUAACACUGAAAUAAAUAAAUACAAAAGGAAAAGGUGGCGCCAUCAGAACAAAGCCCUUGAAUUGUGUUUGCCACCAAAUUCAACAAGAUCCAUAAUUUAUUAGGACAAAGAUUGUUUGAGUAGUUUUGAGACCCGUGCCAAUUACUGUUUGUGAAAACUACUUUUUAAUGCUAAACUAUUUUGCUAACAAAUUUUUGCUGGUUAAAAAAAAAGUAAAAUUUCAAGUUUGAUAGCUGACCAUCCUUAUCAGAGGGAAAAAUACAACAUAUAAAAUGAGCUCUGCUGCUACAUUAAAACACAACCACAUUUUUCAAAAAUUGAAAAACCUAAUUGACAAUGUAAUUGGCACCACUGGAGUCUGUCAUGUGACCCUGGCCCAUCUACACUAUUUAACCCAAAUCUCAAGACAGCGGGGUCUGAAAGUCUGAGUCCAGUUUGUUUUCCUUCUCGGGUACAUUUAUUUUUCCACAAAUGUCAUAAAUCUAUUUUUGUUAUAGAAAGUGUGUUAUGCAUACCAUGUCCUUAAUGGUGUGACAACUUUUCUUUUUCAUGAAGUUUUAAUACAUGUACAUUAGUAAUACAGAGAGCUGUUCUGGUCCCGUAACAGUUCUUAGGAGAUACUGACGUGAUUGACAUGGUCCUGUGUCUUAUGGUUGCUUUCAUUUUACAAAGAAUGCUUUCCCAACACGGGGAUCGCUGGUUCGAAUCCCUGUGUUACCUCCGGCUUGGUUGGGCGUCCCUACAGACCCAAUUGGCUGUGUCUGCAGCUGGCAACUCCAUGUACAUCGGAGGAGGCGUGGUAGUCUGCAG